Sorghum bicolor (sorghum) is the source of this 4317-nucleotide long non-coding RNA. RefSeq lists it as uncharacterized. The record is from RefSeq and is a predicted model, not a curated record. The transcript has 3 exons. NCBI's taxonomy places the organism in Eukaryota, Viridiplantae, Streptophyta, Magnoliopsida, Poales, Poaceae.
UGACGCCGCACUCCCCUCGCUCAGUUUUCCCUCGCUCCCGCACUCCCCUAGGCGCUGCAAUCCCCUUCGACGCCGCACUCCCCUCGCGCUCUGCAUCUGCAUCUCGACCCAGCCCUUCAACUCCCUCAACGGCAGCGGUGGAGUGUGCCGCAGCCAGGUACGUGGUGCAGCAUCGAGCAGAGGAACAUCGCGGCCACAUCCUGUUUCGCACCUCGCCACAAACAUGUUUCUAACACGGAGGCCCGCCGCUCGCUGAUCACGCCGCGACGAAACGUGGUGUCAUGGCGGCAUGCACUGCCUGCCGAAGUGCCAAAUCGCCGUUUCCCGACGCUUGUUGUCACCGCGUGUCCGCGGCCCGCCUCGCAGCAUCCCUGACGCCUAAGGAUAGGCCGAACGAUGGAUGCCCAGGUCCAGCCGAUCAUCUGGCCAAGUCUCCGGCGCUACCAUGUCGCACGCCUGGCUACGGGCCACGCCAGCCUCUAGCCCGAGCGUCCCUCUCAGUCCUGCAUCUGCUGUGUACACGCCUUUCAGGGUUUCUCUGCUUCAGUUGAUCAGCUCUGAAUUCAUUUGUGUUGGCACACACACCAGGCACUCAGGUCUUGCCCUGCCGCUGCCACACACUAGGCACGUGGAAUCAAGAUGCUUCUCCGACGUCCGUUGCAACAUAUUGCCGAUCUCGCCACCUACAGUCCAUGGAAGAUCGAUCGUGGUGCCAUCCUAUACAGCAUCUGGCAUUAGUUCCAAGCAGUCAGUUCGAUUCUGGUGAUCAGGUAAUUUCGCCAACCAUUAUUUCAUAGUCUCAUGCUCAAUUUGGUUUUACGCUCGAAGUUUCUUUGUUUCAGUUUGAUGGAGCUGUGAUAAUUAUUGUUAACUUUUGCAUUAUGUGAUGCAAAAUAAUUUGAUCAUGCAAGACUUUAUGAGUCGGUUGUUCAUUGGUCUUUCAUCUUCUUGUCAUGAAAACUAACAUCAUAAUUUAGUGAAAAUCUGUUUAGAGGCAUUCUAUAAUUUCCAAAUGACAGUUAUCACAAAUUUUUGAAAACAAAUGCUAGCACAAGUACAGAACCUACUACUAAUCUGUAAAAAUAUAGUUUGGAAACUCUAAAACCUGCACUUGCUGAAUAGCAAAACUAUUAAAACUAUAGAAAUAGUAUAAACUGUAGCAAUCUGACAAUAGAAAAAACUGAAAGUGGAUGCUACUUAUUCUCAAGCAAAACUGAAAAUAGAUUUUGCACUUGUUGCAACCUGCAAAACAACAAAACAACACAAAAGAGAAUAAAUAGCUAUAGCAUUGAAUUUUAUUUGACAAAUUGGAGUUCACCUGUAGAAUUGCUUAGUUAAUCUGCACACUAUUUAGUUGGCAUAGUAUUUUAAUUGAAUUUUUAGCAUAAGGAUAUUUGAAAUAAGCUGAUCUGCCAGUAAUGACUAAUGAGGAUACCUUAGUGUUUGGGAUCCCUGUACUUUAGUGGUCUAGGCUUUGAAAGGUAACUUCACUAUAGGCCUCGCACUCACCCUCAUCUCGACGGUGCGCGUGUUGCUGGGGAUUGGCGAAGAGGGCUGCCACGACGGCGCGCACUGUUGCGUUCUCUUCAGCCCCUCCCAGAAUUACUCCUCCCUCAGGUACAGGUAUUCUCUUCCUCUUCCCUAUGUCUGCAUAUAAAAUAGUAUUUGAAUUGUGGCAACAAUCAGAAAACAUUGUUACAAUAAAUUUUAAUUGGCCAAUCAGACAUGGUUCAGAUUAUGUCAGCUUGAAAGAAAUAAACAUGGUUCAGAUUAUGUCAGCUUCAAAGAAAUUGGUUGACCAGACCAUGUGUGCUUGGUUGUUUCGUGAACAUGCUUUUACCAUCUCAACUAAUAGAUGCAAGAAUGAAAUGAUCAAGGAAAGGACUUGCCCUGGCUUUUGUAGUUCUGUUGCUACUGAAUCUAACUGACCUUGUGUACGUUCUAUAAAUUUAUUUAAUAUCUAUGAGAUUGAGUUCGAUAAUCAACUGACAUUUAUGUGCUGAUCUAAAAACUUAACCAAAUCAUUUAGAUGAAGAACACAAUAAUCAUCUGUUUGAUCUAGCUGUAGAUAGUAUGUUUCAUAGUUUUAGACUAUGACAAAAUGGCUUGCAUCAUAAAAAAGAACUAUAAAAUAUCUAUUCUAUUGAUAGUGUAAAGCUGAAUAAAAUAAUCAUCUUUCAGUAAGAAAGUUCCAUCCCAAAACUAAAAAGCUACAAAGAGGUAAUGUCUCACUUGUCGAUACAGAUUUUUUUCAAGAUAGUAAAUAGUACUUUCUUUAAGAAUUAAGAAACAACUUAUACGCAGGAUACUUCCAACUACAACUUCAGUUGUAAGAAGUCAGACAAUUCAUUUCUAGAUCAUCUUUGAUUAGUGAUCAGCUGUAGCUUGGUGCCUGUGCAAUAUGAAGUUGAUGUUUCAGUUUCGUAUUAAAAAUUGGAGUCACAUGUUAACUAUCUAUCUUUCUUGAAGACUUAUGUAAUAUUGAUAUUUCAAACACAUGAUUGUAGUAUCUAUUUUAGGUAAAUAUGUUAUGUUGGUAUUAUGUGUUCCCGUUGCAACGCACGGGCAUUUACCUAGUUGAACAUUAAAUAUAGACGAAAACAAAAACUAAUUACACAGUUUACCUAUAAAUCACGAGAUGAAUCUUUUGAGCCUAGUUAGUCCAUGAUUGGAUGAUAUUUGUCAAAUAAAAAUGAAAAUGCUACAGUACCGAAAUCUUUUCGGAACUAGAACAAGAUCUAGGUUUAAUUUGUAUAAGGAAGCCAAUCUAGAAUGAAUCCUGGGCCCGGAAGGAGCUAACCGAACGAGCCCCUAUCUCUUGAAUCUAUUGUUGCACUGCAGGCGGUAUUUGGUGUGUUUUGCUAGAAGAUAGUAUUCCCCAGUACUCCGUAGUACGCAUCAUUGGUGAACUGGCUUGAUGCUGCAUCGUCCAUUCCAUCGACGACGAUGUGAUGCAGCAUCGCUUUCCGUUCAUAACUUCAUCUCUGUCAUUGGCUAAGUGCUUUUAGACGGAGUCACACGUGUCACAAAUGUAGUAAAGAAGCUUAGCCAUGGAUGAAUUAGGACUAGUGAUUAGCUGACUAGUAAUUAGUUGACUAGUGAUUAGUUUAGUCCUGUUUGGAUCCCUAGGCUAAUAACCACUUCUAUCUCAACACAAAGUCGUUUUUACCCCCGAGUUUGUUUUGUCAGUUCAACUGUUGUCCCACCGCCACCUGCAGUUGCGCUGUGUGGAGCGUGCCCUCCUUUCUUGAACUCCAAAUGUGGGGUGGGCAAUCGGUUGAAAUUUACCCAGAAUGUGUUGUUUUUAUAGGCGUGCUUGUGACAAUUUGAGUAGUUUCCUUUUCAAAUCAUAUAGUACAUAAACCCCAGAAAAUCGAUUACUCCUGCUUGGUUAGGCAAGAACCUAACUAACUGGAGCUGUGCUGUCCAAGCAGGUGUCACUGACAUUUGUUGCAGGUAGUGAGGGGGCCAUUUACAGGAACGAACGAGGAAGACGGCGGAUGGAAAAUGCAGAGAAUCACCUAUCUAGGGGCGAUGAGGGCGAGCUGACAGCUGAGUGAAACGUGAAGGUGAAUCAGCCAUGUCGGCUAGCUCCGCGGAAAUUGCUGUGCUCCAGCUCCAGAUAUGACUACCAGAUCAUUUCAUGGUUGUUUAAACAGUACUGUACAUAUGACUUCAUCUAUCCUGUCAGCAUGAUAUAAUGACAACAACAACUUGGGGAUUUGGCUCGCGGUAGUCUUGUGCGAUGCUCAUUUGUUGGUGGAGGGGAACUGCUCCUCCUUUGACCUCGUUGCUGGAUCAGACCACAGAUUCUCUAGUUGCAAGUUCAUAUCAUCCAAGCUGUUAGUGUUAGGGAGGGAUGUGGUGAAUUGGACGGUGUUUCCAGCCGAAAGCGACGCAACUAACCCCCUCCCCAGCCGGUGACCGACAUGAAAGGCAGUGGUCAGGAGCUGGUGCAUCAGCAGGCAAGGAGCUGGUGCAUGAACAUCGCCAAAAGCGUUUUGAUUGGGUCCCUUCUCCUAGCUAUGAAAGGAAAGCAAUCCUUUUGAAGGGCACAAGCUACCCGGGAGUAAGGACAAUGCUUUGCUUUAUUUAGGUUGUACUGAACACUGUUGCUAGGUGUCCUUUUUUUCACUCUGUUGCUAAUUCUAGAAACAGUCGAGAUACAAUAGAGGGCAUCUUCUCUUCAAAUUGACUGGCGGCAAAGUUCCUACCGUGAGGACAACAUUAUCCAUACAUAUGUACUACUCCCUCCGUCCACGAAAGAGUCAAUUUCUAAAGUUGUCCUAAGUCAAACUUUUUAAACUUUGACCAAAU